This is a long non-coding RNA of Teleopsis dalmanni, 878 nucleotides long. RefSeq lists it as uncharacterized. NCBI's taxonomy places the organism in Eukaryota, Metazoa, Arthropoda, Insecta, Diptera, Diopsidae. The transcript is spliced from 2 exons. The record is from RefSeq and is a predicted model, not a curated record.
AAUAAAUAAUUUGUACAAAAAAUGAAAUGCUUUUUCCAGACCGUCUCUUCCAUGAAAAAGAAAAAUACAAAGCAAUCUGCGAUGAUUUGGAUUCAACAUUUGCCGAACUUACUGGAUAUUAGCAAAAUAACUCCAAACACAAUACAAAAACACUACCAUUUCCAAUUAGAAAAAAGAUAUUAUAUUUAUCCAUACCAAAUAUAUGUCUGUACCGAUUUUUUAUUUUUAAUAAUCAGUUAUACACUUUCCAAACUAUAGAGAAAUGUUAACCCAUAAAAAAACCUUUUCUAUAUCUGAAUCUUUUCUGUAUUCGAACACAAUGUCAGAAACAUAUUGUAAAAUUUUAUUUAUGCAAUUUAAACUACUGCCCUGAUCAUACAUUAACAAAACAUUGGGACAGAGUAACUCAAGAUAUGUAAAAUAUAUUUAAUUUUUCCUCCCAAUAUGCACUUUAUACGAAUAUUAUACGAAUUGUAUAUUUUAACAAACAUCUACACUUAACACGAAAACCCUGUUAGAAGCAGCAAUUGCAUAAAAUAGUAGUAGCAACAAUUUUUAUAAAAGAUGUACAUAUGCGUUUAUACAUUGCAAUUAUAAGAUGAAUUGGGCGUCAACAAGGACAGAUACAAGUCCCUUGCCGACGAAAUGGACUCCACAUUCGCCGAAUUGGCCGGUUAUUAAAUUUCGUAUCUGAGCGACUACUUCUCUAUAUUAUUAUCAACAACAAUAAAACCAACAACAAAGAAUGUUGCACAUGCUGCUACCUGCUGACUUGACCUGGGACCACCAAAGGAAGUAGCUCCGAAGGCAUGCUUGAUAUUAAAAAUAUAUUUAAAACAAUUUAAUAAAUUUAAAUACACUUUUUACUAUUUGUAAAA